UUAGGGGGGGGACGGAGAAGGCUAGAUCGACCGAAUGUUGGUUAUCGGCUUAAGUAUUCGAGGUGAUGAGGUCCGGUGAAAACGGUCUGAGCUAAGAUGCGAAUAGGAAAGUGUUAAGACACUGAACCGAUUAAUGUCAUACUUCCAAGAAAAGCCCUAACUACCAUAAGCAAUAAAUACCUGUACCCGAAACCGACA
Molecule: ribosomal RNA, 198 nt
Filed under: Favella ehrenbergii
Lineage: Eukaryota; Ciliophora; Spirotrichea; Tintinnida; Xystonellidae
Description: partial Bacterial large subunit ribosomal RNA
Source: RNAcentral